GUUCGUAAAUGAUAGCCUAGUAGACAUGGCAUCUGCCCGGUAAGCGGAACAUUGUGGGUUCGUUUCCCAUCCCUGAACA
Molecule: transfer RNA, 79 nt
Filed under: Cordylochernes scorpioides
Lineage: Eukaryota; Metazoa; Arthropoda; Arachnida; Pseudoscorpiones; Chernetidae
Description: tRNA-Thr
Source: RNAcentral